This 381-nucleotide ribosomal RNA is filed under the name uncultured bacterium. RNAcentral describes it as "bacterial SSU rRNA". It matches the Rfam family "Bacterial small subunit ribosomal RNA", at positions 28 to 409 of the family's 1533-position model. The record is from RNAcentral.
GACGAACGCUGGCGGCGUGCUUAACACAUGCAAGUCGAGCGGUAAGGCCCUUUCGGGGGUACGACGAGCGGCGAACGGGUGAGUAACACGUGGGUGACCUGCCCUCAGCUCUGGGAUAAGCCUGGGAAACUGGGUCUAAUACCGGAUAUGACUCCAUGACGCAUGUUGUGGGGUGGAAAGCCUUGUGCGGCUGAGGAUGGGCCCGCGGCCUAUCAGCUUGUUGGUGGGGUGAUGGCCUACCAAGGCGACGACGGGUAGCCGGCCUGAGAGGGCGACCGGCCACACUGGGACUGAGACACGGCCCAGACUCCUACGGGAGGCAGCAGUGGGGAAUCUUGCGCAAUGGGCGAAAGCCUGACGCAGCGACGCCGCGUGAGGGAU